AUGUCAAGCCAGACUACAAUUCUCUUCGCGUGUUUGGCUGCGCUUGUUGGCCCAAUCUUAGACCAUACAACAACCGCAAGCUCAUGUAUCGAUCUAAACAAUGUGUUUUCAUCGAAUAUAGUGCACAACACAAAGGAGUCAAGUGCCUCGAUGUCUCCACCGGCCGUGUCUACAUCUCACGCGAUGUCGUGUUUGAUGAAACCAAAUUUCCUUUUGUUGAUCUUCAUCCCAAUGCCGGUGCACUCCUUAGGAAAGAAAUUCUUCUCCUUCCAUUGCAUCUCUCCGGUCUUGAUCAUGGGGGGGGGAAUAAUUGUGAUGAUCAUACGUUGA
RNAcentral lists this ribosomal RNA (330 nucleotides) under Triticum aestivum (bread wheat). Its description in RNAcentral is "partial small subunit ribosomal RNA". Lineage: Eukaryota; Viridiplantae; Streptophyta; Magnoliopsida; Poales; Poaceae. The record is from RNAcentral.